UUUCUAAAAUUACAAUUGCGAAAAAAACGACGAUUCUAAAUUUAAAGAAGCCUCAUUUUUUUAUCCCUGAUUCUUCUCCCUCUUCACCUUCGUUUUCUCGUCGUCGUCGCUUCCUCACUGCCAAACCUUUUCGUCGCUGCGUAGUUGUUCAUUGAUGUUGUAGGGUUGAUUGUUGCAGUAGCUCCACCCUCCAUCUCACUUGUCUCUGCGCUCUCCCUCGUCUCCAGUUUGUACCGCCGCCGCCAACGGUGGUCCUGAAUCCAAUAUCAACUAGGAAGAGAUGAAGAAUGAAUCAGAAUCUUCGAGUCGCCCUAAUUUGAAGAAAUCGUUCAACUAUCCUGCUGAAUUCAAGUUGCCCAACAGGUUCUGUUUAGGUCAACUAGUUCCAUGGUACUUGUCUCGUGGUAGUCUACAGAGCCAUGCAGUGUUGCAGCAGAUGAUGUGGGUGUUUAGGGCCGAAGUGUGCUUUGUUCUGGUCAGCAGUACCAGAAAAAGGGUCUUUAAAGUUAGAUGUCGCAAACGCAUAGCUGCUGAUUGUUGAGGUUUGUGCCGAUUCAGAAGCAGAUUGUUGCAAACUCUGCUGUCCAAAUGAUUAUUGCGCUGACAUUCAUAAAGAUUAGCUUGCUUUACGUGGAUUUUAAGAAGAUUCACGAGAUCCGAAGCAAGUUUGGUCUCCAAGUAGAAGCUUUAUUUUUUAUAUUAACACUUUCACUUGCAAUUCCAAAGCACACGUCCUCUUCCAAACACACUAGUGUUGGGUUUAAAUUGGUGGAUGUGGAAAGCGGUAAGCUUAGAUUAAAAGUUCAAACGGAAGCUGCAGUUCUUGAUUGUUGUUUCCAGAGUGAGCCUGUUGUUGUCUCCGCUGCUUCAGAUGGUUCCAUUUUUAGGUCAGAUCUCUUUUCGGAGUCUCAGAGGAUUCAAUAAACAAUCCAAACCCGAACCCGGGGUAUUCCAGAUGCUCGCACAUAUCUUUUGGCUUUGAAGGAGAUACGGCUCAAGGUAACAAGCUGGUUGACAUGGUUCAUAUUUCUUUUGUGCGAAAGCGUUAUCCAUCUUACACAAUCUGCUGCCUCACAAAUAGGUUAAUGUUUUUUAUCAAUAAAAGUUGAGACUAUUUGCAAGAAUAUGGUUUACUUAAUUUAAUUUCUUCACAUGUUCCAUUUUUUUUGUGCUGCAUACUGAUAUGAACAUGUUCUGUGUUUCUGUGCUGCAUCUUGAUAUGGUCAUAUUUUGCCUUUCUAAUCUUCAUUGAUGCUAGCUUGCUGAUCUGCACUAAUGCUUAAUGAUCUGCUUGGUCUUUUAUGUCUGAUCUGUACAUCUGUAAAGACCUUCUUUCUGCUGCAUUGCUGCAUUUGACAUAAGUUGACUUAGGUUGACUUUCUAGUGAACCUAAGUCAACUUUGUUACAACUUAAUAAUGAACAAAUGGGUUAGCUCAAAACAUACUUUGGUGAAAGAAAAAAAUCACCUGUAUUGAUCCAAUAAACCUUAAAUGUUCUUAACUAGACCUAACUAGGUGACAUUGAGUUAAAAGUUGGGAGUGAAAUGAUCCAUUUUAAUCAAAAUAUGACCUAUAAUGAUAAAACUAUCCUUAAAUGUGCAUAACUUGACCAACGUAGGUGAGAAUGAGUCUUAGAAAAAUAAAACUAAGUAUAUUAAACAUGUAAAAGAUUUAAAAUACUCAUUUAGGUUCAUUAGUUGAAAUUCGGGACCGAAAUAAGCCAUUUUAGUCAAAAUGUGACCUGUAAUGAUCAAACGAGUCUUAAAUGUGCAUAACUUGGCCAAAAUGGGUGAUAAUGAGUAUUUGAAACAUAAAACUAAGUGUAUACAUGGAAAGUCUUUAAAAUACUUAUUUAAGUUCAUUAUUAAAAGUUGGGACCAAAAUAAGCAAUUUUAGUCAAAAUGUGCCCUAUAAUGAUCAAACGAGUCUUAAAUACGCAUAAGUUGACAAAAGUGGGUGAUAAUGAGUCUUUGAAACAAUAUGUUAAGUGUAUUAAACAUGUAAAGAGUUUAAAAUACUUAUUUAAGUUCAUUAGUUGAAAGUUACGAGCGAAAUAAGACAUUUUAGUCGAAAUGGGACGUAUAAUGUUCAAACAAGCCUUAUAUGUGCAUAACUUGACCAAAGUAGGUGAGAAUGAGUCUUUGAAACAUCAAAAUAAGUAUAUUAAACAUGUAAAAGUUUUAAAAUAUUCAUUUAGGCUCAUUAGUUGAAAGUUGGGACCGAAAUAAGCUAUUUUAGUCCAAAUGUUCUACGAGCGCUAGGGGGAUGUUUUGUCCUUUGCAUCCAACCACUAAGUAAAGGGCUUUAUUGUGAGCACCCCCCUCUUUGGGUAAGUCUUUAUCAGUGAAAACUAUGGCCUUUUCUCCGGCAUCUCUCGUGACAUGGCUAACCAAUGAGUCAGGUGUGAUAUCUGUGGGUACUGAGAUGAGGUCAAGUGAGAGAAUAAGCUUUUCGCGAUGUUCCUUUGAAGUACACAUAAGAUCCCAGAUGGUAAUCUCAGCCUUGGUUCUUUUCAGUUGUUUCAGGAGAGAAUUUUCAAUGACUUCCGCGACGGUGGCGUGCCGCCCGUUCUCAGGAGUUUGCCUAACCGGGAUGUCGUCCAUAGGAGGUGGGUGAAUAUCCGGUUGGUAUAUCCUUCCGGAUCGGGUGAGGUUGUCGACCUCGGGCUCCUGAGGGGUGGUGUCAAUGAGAGCAUACUCGGGCCAAGUUUCAGUGAAGAGGUCCUGGCCCGAGACUUGAGAUAGGUAAAUAUCUUCAGCAUCAUCGUUCCACACACCGCACAGUUCCCCCUCGAUUCGAUCCAUAGGUACCACAGCGAGUGGUGCACCUUGAGGUGUAAUAUACACCGUGGGGUCGAAAUUCUCUGGUUGGUCGAGAGAGAUGUGACAAGAGCCGAGUGGGCUCUUGUUGUUGUUGAGUAUGCCAACGUUAGGGAGAGGUGUUUGUUAGGUUAUGAUACAUAUGACAAUUCAUAAAUCAUGCGGAAAAACCAUAAAGCCAGGAAAGCAUAUUAUUUACACAUAAUCAUUUAGCAUAGUUUAGAUGCAUACUCUUUGUUGCGUGCCUUCCCUAGCUGCGCCCGAACCGAACAAGAACAAGUCUUUAGGAAUCCAAGUGUCUUCCCUCCGUAGAUAGUCCACAGCACGUCCGGAUCCGCCUUAAGCUUGACCAACUAGGAUCGCCCUUAAGGUACUUAGAAUUUUCGGCACUUAUAGGCAAUUGUGUGACUGAAUUUUUGCUCUCAAAAAUCACUUUGAAUACUUGAAUACUCGAUAUAAAUUGUGAGCAUUGAUCACCUAUUUAUAAGGCAUGGGUAUCGGAUAUUAGAAUCCUACUAGGAAACGAUUUAUUGAAUCUGAAUUAAUCUAAAAUUCAAUCACUUAAUUUAUCUAGUAGACUUAGGAAUCAAUCUUAUACGAAUCCUAACCGAUCAAGGUUUCGUACGCAAGCACAAACACACACGCAGGCGCAGCAGCCCACGAGGGGCGCCUUGCGUGCGCGGGCGCUGAGCCCAGGCCCAGCAGGUGCUCGCAGCCCACAAGGGGCGUGCGCCUACUGGCCUUGCUCUCGCGUUUGGGCUUUGCUUGCUUUGGUCGCGCGCGGGCUUUGCUAGGCGUUGGGCCUAGCUUCGUGCUAGGCCUUGCGUCUAGCAAGCUCGUCCGAUGUUUAUUCGUACGAUACGCUUCCGAUUAAAUUCCCGGUUCCGGAAUUCAUUUCCGAACAAUAUUUAAUAUUUCCGAUUCCGGAAUAAAUUUCCGUUUCGAACAAAUAUUUAAUAUUUCCUUUUCCGGAAUUAUUUUCCGAUUCCGAUAAUAUUUCCGAUUCUGACAAUAUUUCCGUUUUCGGCAAUAUUUCCGAUUCCGGCAAUAUUUCCAUUUCCGAUAAUAUUUUCCGAUACGUACCAUGUUUCCGUUUCCGGCAACAUCUACGACUUGGAUAAUAUUUAUAUUUCCGAUACGAUCCAUAUUUCCGUUUCCGGCAAUAUCAUCGUUUCCGGAGUAUUCAUUUCUUGCUUGUGACGAUCUCAGCUCCCACUGAAACCAAGAUCCGUUGAUUUCGAAUAUCCAUAGAUGGAGUAUUUAAUGCCAUUAAAUACUUGAUCCGUUUACGUACUAUUUGUGUGACCCUACGGGUUCAGUCAAGAGUAAGAUGUGGAUUAAUAUCAUUAAUUCCACUUGAACUGAAGCGGCCUCUAGCUAGGCAUUCAGCUCACUUGAUCUCACUGAAUUAUUAACUUGUUAAUUAAUACUGAAGCGCAUUUAUUAGACUUAACAUUGAAUGCAUACUUGGACCAAGGGCAUCAUUUCCUUCAGUCUCCCACUUGUCCUUAGGGACAAGUGUGCAUUUCCUAAUUCCUUUGUCGCUCGAUGCUUGCUCUUGAACAUAAGGUAAGAGUUGUCAUCCUUAUUAUGUCCAGAGGUGUUCCUCGGUUUCAGAGUUCAACUGAUCAAAUAAACAGAUAAUCAUAGCCUAUGAUUCAUCCGAGCACGGCCAUGCAUUUCACAGUUUCUAGCUCUCCGAGUGGCCUUGUACAACUUUUAAGCAUCUCAUCCCGAUUUAUGGGAGGACAAUCCCAAUCUUGCGAUCUUGAGAUUAGACUUCGUUUGAUAGGUGAUUACCUGAGCGUUGCCCUUAUAGCCUCCUUUUACGGUGCGACGGUUGGUCAACGUCAAAGCAACCAGUUCUCAAACAAGUAAUCUCAAAUCACUCAGGUAUUGAGGAUUUAGUGUCUAAUAAUUUUAAUGAAAUUACUUAUGACAGAUUUUCAUCUCUUACAGUAAAGUUUCAUAGGUCUUGUCCGAUACUAGUCUUCCCAAAGUAAGUAUCUAUGCAAAUGAUUAUGACAUUGCCAUGUCCACAUAGUUCAAGAAACAGAACUACUAGUCAUCUUGCAUUCUAGUCGUCUAACGUUUUCUAUGCGUCCAAUUUUAUAGAAAACUCCGACUAGGGACCAUUUUCAACCUUUGACAUUCAAGUUCACUUGAUAGACAUUUCUUAGUCACAGGACUGGUCCUGACAGUCUAUCUUGAAUAUAUCGCCAAAUUGAAGGGACUCAUCAUUUAAUAAACCACAAAUUAAAUGGAAAAAUGAAUUCUCUUCAUUUAUUGUGAAUGAUUAACCAAUAAUGUUUUACAAAGAUUUAAACUCUAAAACUUUAAAACAUUAAACAGGGAUAUCAAAGCCAUUCUCCAAUAUGCUUGAUUCCCAUAGCUGCAGUGUGCGAGUUGUGCUUCGCCUGCGGCAGAGGUUUAGUCAAUGGAUCUGAUAUGUUGUCAUCAGUUCCAAUCUUGUUUAUCUCGACUUUUUUUCUUUCAACGAACUCUCGUAGAAGGUGAAAUCUACGAAGUACAUGCUUGACUCUCUGGUGGUGUCUAGGCUCCUUUGCCUGUGCAAUAGCUCCGUUAUUAUCACAAUACAGGGCUAUUGGUCCUUUAAUGGAGGGGACUACACCAAGUUCACCUAUGAACUUCCUUAGCCAUAUAGCUUCCUUUGCUGCUUCAUGUGCAGCAAUGUACUCCGCUUCAGUUGUAAAAUCCGCAAUGGUGCUUUGCUUAGCACUUUUCCAGCUUACUGCACCCCCGUUGAGGCAGAAGACAAACCCAGACUGUGAUCUGAAAUCAUCUUUGUCGGUUUGGAAACUUGCGUCCGUAUAGCCUUUAACAAUUAAUUCAUCAUCUCCACCAUAGACCAGGAAGUCAUCUUUGUGCCUUUUCAAGUACUUCAGAAUAUUCUUGGCAGCAGUCCAAUGCGCCUCUCCUGGGUCUGACUGGUAUCUGCUCGUAGCACUGAGUGCAUACGCAACAUCCGGGCGUGUACAUAUCAUAGCAUACAUUAUUGAACCAAUCAAUGAUGCAUAUGGAAUCCCAUUCAUUCGUCUACGCUCAUCAAGUGUUUUUGGGCACUGAGUCUUGCUUAGAGUUAUUCCAUGAGACAUGGGUAGGUAGCCUCGCUUGGAGUCCGCCAUCUUGAACCUAUCAAGCACCUUAUUGAUAUAAGUGCUUUGACUAAGUCCAAUCAUCCUUUUAGAUCUAUCUCUGUAAAUCUUGAUGCCCAAUAUGUACUGUGCUUCUCCUAGAUCUUUCAUCGAAAAACAUUUCCCAAGCCAAAUCUUGACAGAGUUCAACAUAGGAAUGUCAUUUCCGAUAAGUAAUAUGUCGUCGUUAUAUAAUACUAGGAAAGCAAUUUUGCUCCCACUGACCUUCUUGUAUACACAAGAUUCGUCUGCGUUCUUGAUGAAACUAAAGUCACUUACUGCUUCAUCAAAACGUAUAUUCCAGCUCCUGGAUGCCUGCUUCAAUCCGUAGAUUGACUUCUUUAGCUUGCAUACCUUUUUAGCAUUCUUUGGAUCCUCAAAACCUUCAGGCUGUGUCAUAAACACAGUUUCUGUUAAAACGCCGUUUAAGAAAGCAGUUUUGACAUCCUUCUGCCAUAUUUCGUAAUUGUAAUAUGCAGCGAUUGCUAACAUUAUCCGAAUAGACUUUAGCAUUGCAACUGGUGAAAAGGUUUCAUCGUAAUCCACACCGUGGACUUGCCUGUAACCUUUUGCAACCAAUCUAGCUUUGAAAACUUCAAGUUUCCCAUCCUUGUCUUUUUUCAAUUUGAAAACCCAUUUGCUUCCAAUGGCUUGGUAGCCAUCUGGCAAAUCGACCAAAUCCCAUACUUGGUUUUCAGACAUGGAGUCUAAUUCAGAUUGCAUGGCUUCUUGCCAUUGCUUGGAGCUAGGGCUCGUCAUAGCUUGUUUGUAAGUCGCAGGUUCAUCACUUUCAAGUAAUAGAACGUCAUAGCUCUCGUUCGUCAAAAUACCUAAGUACCUUUCCGGUUGAGAUCUAUAUCUUUGCGAUCUACGCGGGGUAACAUUUCUAGAUUGACCAUGAUUCUCACCAGAUUCUUCUAAAGAUCUCUGAGUUUCAUCCUGAAUGUCAUCUUGAGCAUUCUCUAGAGUUUGUUGUUCGACUCGAAUUUCUUCGAGGUCUACUUUUCUCCCACUUGUCAUUUGGGAAAUGUGAUCUUUCUCCAAAAAGACACCAUCUCGAGCAACAAACACCUUGUUUUCAGAUGUAUUGUAGAAGUAAUACCCCUUUGUUUCCUUUGGAUAGCCCACAAGGAUACAUUUGUCAGAUUUUGGAUGAAGUUUGUCUGAAAUUAAUCGUUUGACGUAUACUUCACAUCCCCAAAUCUUAAGAAAAGACACAUUUGGAGGCUUUCCAAACCAUAAUUCAUACGGAGUCUUUUCGACAGCUUUAGACGGAGCUCUAUUUAUAGUGAGUGCAGCUGUAUUUAGUGCAUGUCCCCAAAAUUCUAAUGGAAGUUUGGCCUGACCCAUCAUUGACCUGACCAUGUCUAGCAAGGUUCUGUUCCUCCGUUCCGACACACCGUUCCAUUGUGGUGUUCCAGGAGGAGUCAAUUCUGAUAGAAUUCCACAUUCUUUCAGAUGGUCAUCAAAUUCAUAGCUCAGAUAUUCACCGCCUCUAUCAGAUCGCAGUGCCUUAAUCUUCUUGCCUAAUUGAUUGUCUACUUCACUCUGAAAUUCCAUGAAUUUGUCAAAGGAUUCAGACUUAUGCUUCAUUAGGUAGACAUAACCAUAUCUACUGAAGUCAUCAGUGAAAGUGAUAAAGUAGCUGAAACCACCUCUAGCAUUUGUACUCAUUGGUCCACAUACAUCUGUAUGGAUUAAACCCAAUAGUUCAUUUGCUCUUUCUCCAACUUUAGAGAAAGGUUGCUUUGUCAUUUUGCCAAGUAAACAUGAUUCACAUUUACCAUAAUCCUCUAAGUCAAAUGGUUCUAGAAUUUCUUCCUUUUGAAGUCUUUCUAAGCGUUUCAAGUUUAUAUGGCCUAAUCGACAAUGCCACAGAUAGGUGAGAUCUGAAUCAUCCUUUUUGGCCUUUUUGGUAUUUAUGUUAUAUACUUGUUUGUCGUGAUCUAAUAAAUAAAGUCCAUUGACUAAUCUAGAAGAUCCAUAAAACAUCUCUUUAAAAUAAAACGAACAACUAUUGUCUUUUAUUAAAAAGAAAAAUCCCUUAGCAUCUAAGCAAGAAACUGAAAUGAUGUUUUUAGUAAGAUUUGGAACAUGGAAACAUUCUUCCAGUUCCAAAACUAGCCCGGAGGGCAACGACAAAUAAUAAGUUCCUACAGCUAAUGCAGCAAUCCGUGCUCCAUUUCCCACUCGUAGGUCGACUUCACCCUUGCUCAACUUUCUACUUUUUCUUAGUCCCUGUGGAUUGGAACAUAAGUGUGAGCCACAACCUGUAUCUAAUACCCAAGAAGUUGAAUUAUCAAGUAUACAAUCUAUAACGAAAAUACCUGAAGAUGGAACGACUGUUCCGUUCUUCUGAUCUUCCUUUAGCUUCAAGCAAUCUCUCUUCCAAUGCCCCUUCUUCUUGCAGUAGAAGCAUUCGGAUUCAAAAGUGGGUUGACUGACCUUCCUCUUUACAGAUUUGGCGCCAGUUUGCUUAGUUGGGCUGGCCUUGUUGCCACCUUUCUUAGCAUUCCUCUUCUUUCCAGAUUUCUUGAACUUGCUCCCACGCACCAUAAGCACAUCCUGCUUAUCACUUUUGAGCGUCUUUUCAGCGGUUUUCAGCAUACCGUGAAGCUCAGUGAGCGUUUUGUCCAGACUAUUCAUACUGUAGUUCAGUUUGAACUGAUCAUACCCGCUAUGAAGAGAAUGGAGGAUGGUGUCUAUAGCCAUUUCCUGAGAAAAUUGCUGAUCCAGCCGACUCAUAUUCUCAAUGAGUCCAAUCAUUUUGAGAACAUGUGGACUUACGGGCUCGCCUUUCUUAAGCUUGGUCUCAAGAAUUUGCCUAUGAGUCUCGAAUCUUUCGACUCGAGCCAGAUCUUGGAACAUGUUCUUCAACUCACUGAUGAUUGUGAAAGCAUCUGAGUUGAUGAACGUUUUCUGCAGAUCUGCACUCAUGGUGGCGAGCAUUAGACAUUUCACAUCCUUGUAAUUAGGCUUUCAUUACGUAAUUUUCAUUUUUUCUUAGGCUUAUCUUAGAAUUCUCUCUCUAGAAUUAGUUUAGGGAUUAGAUUAGAGAUUAGGAUUAAGGAUUCUUAGCCUCAAAUUCUUGAUUCUAAAUUCAAUUUAAUCAUCAAAUGUUCAGAUUUCUUUUCUAUUUCUUUUGAGCUUUGUUCUUCAUUUUGUUCUUCAAAGUUUGAUGCAAUUUCUUCAUUUCAAGGUAUAAUUCUAAUUCUUCUUUUGAUCAGUUCUUUAAUUCUUUAAUUGAUUCAUUAAUUUCGUUUAUGCUUUGGUUUCAUGCUUGAAUUCUAGAAUUAGUUUCUCAUUUUGAAUGUUCUUGAUUUUUCCCCAAUUUUUGUAGUUUGAAUUUUCUGAAUUUUGUUGUUUCAAUUAGCUUCAUUAAUUCAAUUAGUUUCAUGAUUAGGAUUAAUGUUAGUUUGGUGUUGAUGUUAAUCAUGCUAAUUGAGUAGUUUAGUCUAGAGGUUAGGGAUGAAACUUUGGCAUUGAAUUUGGGGAAUUUUAGGGAUUAAAUGUGAUUUAGUGAUAGGACAUCCAUGACUAAUUGAGUAGUAGUCGUGAAUGCUAUUUGAUUGGAUUAGAUUGGAAUGUAUGAUUAGGUUUGGUAAGACAUUGUGAGCCUAAUUUAUGCAAGUGAAUGAUUGUUCCUAUUAUAUGCAAGCUUAUCUAGUUUAGGAUUAGGCGAAAGCUCUUCCAUAGGCUAGGCUGCUUCGAGUGCUCCAUCCGAGAGGUGGCGAGCACGUCAUUUGGUUUCAUUCCCCUAUGUGCUAUGUCAUUGCAUAUUCAUGAAUGUUUUGACCUUGUGCUUCCUUUGAUUCGAUUUCCACUGCCGAUUCCCGAAAUCUCUAGAAUCUCUUUAUUUGUUUGCUUUUCUAGAUUUCAUUAGAUUAGUUCAAAAACUCAAUUCUUGUUCGAACUAGCUUGUGAACGCAUAGAUUGAAUAAUCAAACAUAUCCAUUCCUAUGGGACAAUCCCUAUACUUGCCGCUAUAGUCCAUAUAGCCGGUUAGUUAGGUGUUUUAUAAAUUUUGUUUGGUGAGGUGUUGAUCUUUCAACGACGGAAAAACACCCUAUCAAAAUGGCGCCGUUGUCGGGGAAUGACAUCAUUGUUUGAUUUUUCUUUCUAGUUCUCUAAUCUAGUUCAUUUUUCAUUUUCUUUUUCUUUAAAAACCAAAAAAAUGGCAAAUUCCUUUGUUUCUUAAAAUGACGAAUCGAUUACACUUGAUGAUCUUCUCUUUCUCCAUGAUAAUUUCCUAAGCUCUUUGAAUUUUGAACCUCCAAAAUCAUUGUUGGAGAGGUUCCUUUUCAUAAAAUAUCUUGAAAUUCAAGAAGAGCAAAGAAUAGAUUCUUGUUUGAAUGCAUUUGAAUUCAUGUCCCAACAAGUUGUAAAAGGGUUUUUGGGAAUUUCUAACCUAAUGCAAGAGUCUAUUAAGGAAGUUUCAUGGAGAAGAGAAGAGUUUGAGGCUGCAUUGCCACCUAUGAUGCAUGACAUUGAGAAAUUAAGUAUCGGAGAGUUUCUUCCUACUCAUUCCUCUUUGAGUGAAUUCAUCGAUGAUGGUGAUGAAAAUUUAUUUGCUCCAUUUUGCUUUGAAGUGCUUAAGUCGAUUCAAAUGGAGGAAAAAAGUGAGUGUGCCUACCAAAAACUUUUAAAAGUUAAUUAAGGAUCUUAUGUUGAGAUUUCUUGUGCUUUAUGUGAUGUGAGUAAAGUUGUUUGUGAAUCUUUUGUUCCCACUCCCUUCCCUCAUUCCCAAUUUGGAAAGAAGAAACUCAACAUUUAUCCUUCAUUUUCCAUUUCUUUUGCCUUUUUGUCAAGACUCCCACCGCUUGAGGAUUCUUUUUCCUCUAUUGAUCCUAAUGAUUCUCCUUCACCAAAGAAGCAUUAAGAAGGGAGUAUUUCUUUUGUUUUUCUUUUUGAUUUUUCUUAUUUUUGGUUCCCUACCCCUUGUAGGCAUAGAGUUGCAUUCUACUUUGUGCUUGCAUCUCAUUUUACUCUUGCCUACUUGUUACUAUUUGAUAUGCUUGCCAUUUCAUAUGACAAACUAUUGCGAUCGUUGUCGGGGUACUUACUAGAGGUAAGAGGGUCAAGCUAAUGACGUAAAAAGAGCGCUUCUCGGGAGGCAACCCGUGGGUGUUGGCCACUUGGGCCAUGUAUACUAAUUUUUCUUGAUUUUUGAAGUUUUUUGUGGCUCAAGCUUUAUUGAUGUGGAAAUCUUUGCAUCCAUCUUUGCCAUGUCCGGCUAUUCUUAUUGGAGAGUUCGUUCGUUAUUACGGUUCUUUGCGGGACUUGCUCCCACGACGGUUCUGGUAAUAUCAUUCUAACUUUCUUGCAUUCUUUGGGUCGGGCCUCAUAUAUGCGGUGCAUUGGUUGGAUGGGUAGCUAUGCCCACUCCUAGUUUCAUUUUAGGCCUUGAGGACAUGGCCUAAUUUGAGCUUGGGGGGGGGGGGGAUUCUAUUCUUUGCUACUUUGAUCUCCGUGUGAUGGAUUGCUUGAUUUUGUGAAUAUUUUGGAUUUUGUGCAUAUUUCUUGAUUAGUUUCAUUGAUUUUGUGAAUAUUUUCUUUAUUUUCCUUUUUUUUACUUCAUUUUCUUUUCCUUAUUUUCUUUCUCUUUUCUCUUUAUUUCUUUUUUCCUUUUCGAUCUUUGUUAAGGCAAGCUUUUCUAGAUUUUUAGGCAUUAUUCUCCAUUUGGGCAAAUAAAAUUGGAACUUGAAGGCUAGAAUGCUUUUAUUCCUAAUUGGUAGAUGUUUGCACGGUUUUCAAUGUCUAGGGUCGAAUCUAGGAUUUAGGUGUUAAGAAAGUUUGUUGAACUUUGGGUAGCAUGCGUCUUGAACCCUUGGCUUGUGGUAAGAUGGUGUCGAUAUCUCUAGUGACUUGAAACCGGAGAGAGUGGUAUUUGCUCCCAUGUGAGGUUCAUGUUCAAAUUAGCCCAAACAAAUAUACAUAUAUUGAGUGGCAUUGAUCCUUAGCAUUGACUUUCUUAUCUCCCAAAUUUGACUAUUUCCUUCCCGAGACCACGAGCGAACUACUUUAGGGGACAAUAGAGGCAUUUAUUUCGGUGACUAUCGUUCUUUUUAGUUUAGGACUUUAUUUUCUAUUUUUCUCAUAUGUUUUUGUUUGCAUUUGCCCCCUUGCUAUCCAUUUGAGCCUUUCCCCUUCAUUUCUUAUGAGCAGAGUACAAGCCUAAUAGCCUUUGUUUUGUUUUCACCCUUAAAAGUGAUAGUGAAGCUUUGAUUUAUGAUGCUUGAUGGUUUUAAAUGAUUAUGCUAAGUUGAGGAAUGAUUGUUAUUGGUAUGAAUGACAAGUUUUGGGAAUCUUGAUGUACAUAGUGAAUAAAUAAGCAAAAGCAAAAAGAGAAAGGAAAGUUUUGAAAAAGCCAAAAAUAGAGAGAAAAGAAGGCAAUGAGAAAAGUUUCAUUUGAAACACACAAAAAAAAAAAAAAAAUCAAGAAAAAGUUCAAAAAAAAGAGUUUUAGUUUAGUGUAGUUGUUAAAUAAGCUUGGGGGUACCCCAAAUAAGUGGUAUGAGUUUGUUUAUGGUUCGAUUUGCUUGAGUUGAGUUCAUUCAUUGCGCUUCACUUUAGGUUUGAGCACCAAUUACCAAAUUUGUUGCGCACCUUACCCCUAGCCUACUUUACACCCUAAAAGUCCUCUUGACCCUUUUGAGUUGAGUCAUUGUCGGUGGAGGGAGGAUUUGGUCAAGUUUAUGGAAUGGGAUUGUCAUGCUAAGAUGUCGGGUAGCCAAACCUUGUUUUCCGGCGCCUUCGCGGUGUCUCGAGACGCUAUUCUCAAGGGUGGAUAGGAUCUAGAGAUUUGACGCGGUAUGCUUGGUUGAAGGGGAAUUGAUAAGUGCUUGCCCUUAGUUCUCUUUGCUUGGCAUUUGAAUCUUUCCCUCGACUUAGGACAUUGGUCAGCGUGCAUUUGUUUAUUUGGUUAGUAAUAUUAGCAUUCUCUCAUACUUGUUCCAUAAUAAAGGCCCUUAUCUCGAGUUUUGUAGUUUCAUUUUUUUUUCUUUUUCUUUCUUUUCUUUUCUUUUCCCUUCUUUUCUUCUUUCUUUUCUUUUCUUUUCUUUUCUUGGUUUGUUUUUCAUUUUAUCUCUUGCCUUGAUUCAAAUUUUUGGAAGAGUUAUGGGUGUUUCUCUUUGGAAACCCUUGCGAGAUCCCACUCGCCCUCAUGACCGAUUGUGGGGUUCAAAGAGCUUGUUGCAUGCGCUUAAAUGCCAUCGUGAUUCCUACGAAAGUGAGUUAGUGUGCAUUCUUGUAGUUCUUAUUUUCGUAAUUUCGAUUUUUAAAUAAAUAAGCUCAUUCUCCUCCCCGUUUGUCAUUCUAGCUUUGCUGGAGGACAAGAAAAGGGUUAGCUUGGGGGAGUUUGAUGAGCGACAUUUAUGUCGCUUUUAGCUUAGGAUUUUAUUUCAUUUUAUUAGCAUUUUAUUAUUAUUUUUGCUAGCUUAAUUUUAUCGUUUUUAGUUCGUUUAUCGCAUUUUUGCAUUAAUCGUAACAUUUUCUCGUCUUGCGUAUAUUUUAGUCGUUUUUGCUCUAAAUGUGUCUUUUAUGCGCAUUCUCAUUGCGUAAGAGUCAUUUUGAGUCUUAACGUGUUAAUAAUUUGUCAAUAUUCUUGUCGACGAGUUAUAUGUUUUACAAUUGGUAAAAAUGUUAAACGAAUUAAUAUUUUGAUUUUCGAUUUUAAUAAUGUGCUCUACGAUUUAUUUGUGCAGCGACGAAGCGAGUUAAGAGCAUUUGAGUGGACAGCAGCUAUGCAUUCGCAAUGACCAAGAGCCAACACAGAGCUGGCAGCACACGCAAGGGACAACCACAGUAGCAGCCUCACGAGCAACAACAAGCCAUGACAACAGCAGCUCGAAACAACAACAUUGCACACGCUUUGUAGCAAUCCUUAGGCUGCUGUACAGCCCCUUGAGUGCCAUGAUUCAUACCUUACAGCAGCACCACAUCAUAGACCAGGCAGUGUAGAAACCAUAUAGCACAGCAGAAGCAAAGCAAUCGCAGCAAGAUCAUAGCAGAACAGCAACACGCAGCUACAACUCCAGUCAGUGCGGGCGCACAGCUGUGCCAGUGCGACCACACAGUUUAGUGCGAGCACACUGAAGUUUAGUGCGAGCACACGAAUUGCCAAAAUUAAUGCAGGAACUCAGUGGAGUUUUGUGCGAGCGUACAGACCCCCUCGUGCGAUCGCACAGCUGCGCGUAGGCUAUAAGUACGAGAAAUCGCAGCAUUUGUAAUUAGGCUUUCAUUACGUAAUGUUCAGUUUUCUUAGGCUUAGCUUAGAAUUCUCUCUCCAGAAUUAGUUUAGGGAUUAGAUUAGAGAUUAGGAUUAAGGAUUCUUAGCCUCAAAUUCUUGAUUCUAAAUUCAAUUUAAUCAUUUAAUUUUCA
Long non-coding RNA from Spinacia oleracea (spinach), 14353 nucleotides. RefSeq lists it as uncharacterized. The transcript has 7 exons. The record is from RefSeq and is a predicted model, not a curated record. Lineage: Eukaryota; Viridiplantae; Streptophyta; Magnoliopsida; Caryophyllales; Amaranthaceae.